Molecule: ribosomal RNA, 497 nt
Filed under: uncultured bacterium
Lineage: Bacteria
Description: partial 16S ribosomal RNA
Rfam family: Bacterial small subunit ribosomal RNA
Source: RNAcentral
GAUGAACGCUGGCGGCGUGCUUAAUACAUGCAAGUCGGGCGGAAAGACGAGGAGCUUGUGCCUCAGACGUUAGCGACGGACGGGUGAGUAACACGUGGAUAACCACAACAUCAGAAUGGGAUAACUUAGGGAAACCGGAGCUAAUAGCGGAUAGAAUAAUGAACCGCAUGGUGGACUAGUGAAUGAUGGGUUUGCUGUUAAUUAUAGAGGGUACCGAGCCGCUUUAGCUAGGUGGUAAGGGAACGGUUUACAAAGGCAACGAUGCGUAGCCGACCAGAGAGAGGGACCGGCCACACUGGAACUGAAACACGAGCCAGACUCCUACGGGGAGCAGCAGUAGGGAAUCUUCCGCGAUAGGCGAAAGCCUUACGGAGCAACGCCGCGUGAGUGAUGAAGGUCUUCGGACCUGAAAACACUGUUAUUAGGGGAGAACAAAUGUUUAAGUAACUAUGCACGUCUUGACGGUACCUGAUCAGAAAGCCACGGCUAACUACGUG